GACGAACGCUGGCGGCGUGCCUAAUACAUGCAAGUAGAACGCUGAAGGAGGAGCUUGCUUCUCUGGAUGAGUUGCGAACGGGUGAGUAACGCGUAGGUAACCUGCCUGGUAGCGGGGGAUAACUAUUGGAAACGAUAGCUAAUACCGCAUAAUAGCAGCUGUUGCAUGAUAACUGUUUGAAAGGUGCAAUUGCACCACUACAAGAUGGACCUGCGUUGUAUUAGCUAGUUGGUGGGGUAACGGCUCACCAAGGCGACGAUACAUAGCCGACCUGAGAGGGUGAGCAGCCACACUGGGCCGGAGACACGACCCAGACGCCUACGGGAGGCAGCAGUAGGGAACCGUCGGCAAUGGCCGGAAGUCUGACCGAGCAACGCUGCGUGAGUGACGAAUGUUGUCGGGUCGUGAAGGUCUGUUGUAAGAUAGGAUCGAGUGUGAGAGUGGAAAGUUCACACUGUGACGGUAUCGGACCAGAAAGCGACGGCUAACUACGUG
This 495-nucleotide ribosomal RNA is filed under the name uncultured bacterium. RNAcentral describes it as "partial 16S ribosomal RNA". It matches the Rfam family "Bacterial small subunit ribosomal RNA", at positions 28 to 507 of the family's 1533-position model. The record is from RNAcentral.